CGAGUGGCGAACGGGUGAGUAACACGUGGGUAAUCUGCCCUGCACUUCCGGAUAAGCCUGGGAAACUGGGUCUAAUACCUGAUAUGAACUCCUGCCGCAGGGUGGGGGUUGGAAAGUUUUUCGGUGCAUGAUGAGCCCGCGGCCUAUCACCUUGUUGGUGGGGUAAUGGCCUACCAAGGCGACCACGGCUAGCCGGCCUGAGAGGGUGAUCGGCCACACUGGGCCUGAGACACGGCCCACACUCCUACG
This 249-nucleotide ribosomal RNA is filed under the name Dietzia maris. RNAcentral describes it as "partial 16S ribosomal RNA". It matches the Rfam family "Bacterial small subunit ribosomal RNA", at positions 92 to 343 of the family's 1533-position model. Lineage: Bacteria; Bacillati; Actinomycetota; Actinomycetes; Mycobacteriales; Dietziaceae. The record is from RNAcentral.